Molecule: long non-coding RNA, 1086 nt
Organism: Lynx canadensis (Canada lynx)
Lineage: Eukaryota; Metazoa; Chordata; Mammalia; Carnivora; Felidae
Exons: 3
Source: RefSeq, a predicted model, not a curated record
GGACAGAAAUGCCUUGGAGGAUCCAGGCUGGGAAGUCACACGUGGGAGAGCAGUCACAGGGGGUGACUGAGGACGUCCUGGGUGCUCCCUCCUGCCGCCCCAGGGCUCUCUUCUCUUUCAGCCCCAAGACCCCCCUGCUCUUCUCCUCCCAGAUGCUUGGCCCUGUGUUGUCAUGUUAGUUUCUGCCUUCUCGAGGCCGAGGCAAGGGCGUUAGGAAAACAACUUUGGAACGUGACCUGGCUUUCCACCCUGACUCUGCACUACCAGCUGUGUGGCCCUGGGCAGAGCCACCGCCCCUGUCUGGGUCUCAGUGCCCUCCUUGUAAAGCAGAAGUGAAAGGAAAGCAGGGCAAACAUAUCUGAAGAGUCCUGGGAGUGUAUCACCCCACGUGCCCGACCAGGUGGGGACCGUCGGCGCCUCCAGCCAGAGAUCACUCGAAACAUACCUGGGAGUGAACAAGCCAGACGUGAUUCCGGAGUGCUCUUGUGUUUGUCUCGGUCCAUCACGGUGGCGGAUGGCCCUGUCUGUGUUCAGCGGGAGCCACACCAGGGCCUGGCUGACGGGGCCAGGCAGCUCCCGGAUGUCACGGCUGCUUUGCUUUGUCGGGAUGCUAUCGUUCCCCCUAGGACAGAUGGAGAGACCGGGGCACCUCUUGGCCAGAGUCCCACAAGACCAAGAAGGUGGUGGAUGGGGUCUUCAAACCUGUUGUUCUGCUCCAGAGUCUGCACGUUUCACCACCAACUAGGCGGCCCAACACCAGGCAAGCACCUGUGCAGUGGCUGUCGCUGUAGUGUGGUCUCCCAGUGAUGCUCCUGCACCCUUGACCCAAUCCUGUGAAGAUGUGGCCUGGGGCCAGCCUGGUGAGACACUCCAGGGAUCCCGAGGACACUUCUCCAUUUGAUCUGCAUUGUCCUUUGUGGUGCUCAUCAUAAUCUCAAUUAAUCCACACUGUCCUCCAUUGAAAUGUCUGCCUCCACCACCGGACAAAUGAGUCCUUGGGUCGGCAGUAUCUUGGUCACUGCUGAGCCCCCAGCCCUGUGCCUACUCCACAGUAAGUGCGCAAUAAACACCUAGUGAAUAAACAAA